CAGUCGCCGCGGGAAUACGUAGGGUGCAAGCGUUAAUCGGAAUUACUGGGCGUAAAGCGUGCGCAGGCGGUUUGUUAAGACAGAUGUGAAAUCCCCGGGCUCAACCUGGGAACUGCAUUUGUGACUGGCAAGCUAGAGUAUGGCAGAGGGGGGUGGAAUUCCGCGUGUAGCAGUGAAAUGCGUAGAGAUGUGGAGGAAUACCGAUGGCGAAGGCAGCCCCCUGGGCCAAUACUGACGCUCAUGCACGAAAGCGUGGGGAGCAAACAGGAUUAGAUACCCCCGUAGUCCCUGUCUCUUAACA
This 301-nucleotide ribosomal RNA is filed under the name uncultured bacterium. RNAcentral describes it as "partial 16S ribosomal RNA". It matches the Rfam family "Bacterial small subunit ribosomal RNA", at positions 509 to 808 of the family's 1533-position model. The record is from RNAcentral.